UACAGGGGUCUCGAGCGUUAAUCGGAAUCACUGGGCUUAAAGGGUGCGUAGGCGGAUCCGUAAGCGCUUUGUGAAAUCCCCCGGCUCAACCGGGGAACUGCAGGGCGAACUGCGGAUCUUGAGGAAACUAGAGGCCGGUAGAACGAUUGGUGGAGCGGUGGAAUGCGUAGAUAUCAAUCGGAAUGCCAAAAGUGAAGACAGCCGGCUGGGGUUUUCCUGACGCUGAGGCACGAAAGCGUGGGGAGCAAACCGG
This 253-nucleotide ribosomal RNA is filed under the name uncultured bacterium. RNAcentral describes it as "partial 16S ribosomal RNA". It matches the Rfam family "Bacterial small subunit ribosomal RNA", at positions 524 to 776 of the family's 1533-position model. The record is from RNAcentral.